Molecule: ribosomal RNA, 274 nt
Filed under: uncultured bacterium
Lineage: Bacteria
Description: partial 16S ribosomal RNA
Rfam family: Bacterial small subunit ribosomal RNA
Source: RNAcentral
AUACGGAGGGUGCAAGCGUUAUUCGGAAUCACUGGGCGUAAAGGACGCGUAGGCGGGUUGGCAAGUCAGAUGUGAAAUCCUACAGCUUAACUGUAGAACUGCAUUUGAAACUGCUAACCUAGAGUAUGGGAGGGGGAGAUGGAAUUAGUGGUGUAGGGGUAAAAUCCGUAGAUAUCACUAGGAAUACCGAAAGCGAAGGCGAUCUCCUGGAACAUAACUGACGCUAAGGCGUGAAAGCGUGAGGAGCAAACAGGAUUAGAAACCCUAGUAGUCC